GUCUAGGUGGCUCAGUCGGCUGAGCGUCUGAUUUUGGCUCAGGCAACGAUCUCAGGGUGCGAGGAUUGAGUCCCACCCUGGGCU
Molecule: transfer RNA, 84 nt
Filed under: Mustela putorius furo (domestic ferret)
Lineage: Eukaryota; Metazoa; Chordata; Mammalia; Carnivora; Mustelidae
Rfam family: tRNA
About the family: Transfer RNA (tRNA) molecules are approximately 80 nucleotides in length.
Source: Rfam by way of RNAcentral